AUUGAACGCUGGCGGCAGGCCUAACACAUGCAAGUCGAACGAGUGGCGGACGGGUGAGUAAUGUCUGGGAAACUGCCUGAUGGAGGGGGAUAACUACUGGAAACGGUAGCUAAUACCGCAUACUAUCAGAUGAGCCUAGGUUGGAUUAGCUAGUUGGUGGGGUAAAGGCCUACCAAGGCGACGAUCCGUAACUGGUCUGAGAGGAUGAUCAGUCACACUGGAACUGAGACACGGUCCAGACGCCUACGGGAGGCAGCAGUGGGGAAGAUUGGACAAUGGGCGAAAGCAUGAUCCAGCCAUGCCGCGUGUGUGAAGAAGGCCUUCGGGUUGUAAAGUACUUUCAGCGGGGAGGCGUUACCCGCAGAAGAAGCACCGGCUAACUCCGUGCCAGCAGCCGCGGUAAUAC
This 406-nucleotide ribosomal RNA is filed under the name uncultured bacterium. Its description in RNAcentral is "partial 16S ribosomal RNA". It matches the Rfam family "Bacterial small subunit ribosomal RNA", at positions 30 to 526 of the family's 1533-position model. The record is from RNAcentral.